AUGUCUCAGCAACAGGCCUGGCAGCCAAAUACGUCUACAUCUGUACAAGCUUCUUCACUCACUAACAUCGGACAGAACUUUCCCGGUGUCAACCAAACAUCAACGAUGCAGAAUGUGUCUUUCAUGCCACAGAACAUAAUGAAUAAUGGCUUGGCGCAAGGCACUUCACAAGAUGUUUAUGCUGCACAAAGGCAAAUGGCAGGAAGGCAACAACAAAAAGAAUCUCAUCAAUUAAUUUAUCAGCAGCAGCAAAUGCUGAUGAAGCAGAAAUUGCAGCAUAAUUCACUACUGCAACCGUAUAUCCAGCAGCAGCAAUCUUUGUUGCAGCCAACACAAAUGCAAUCUUCACAGCAAUCCAUGAUGCAAAUGUCAUCUGGCCUUCACCCUGGGCAGUCCACCGUUCCACAGACACAGCCAAUGGCCAUGCAGUCAGCUACUCAGAGUUUUAAUCAACAUAAUCAAUUGAAUUCCGUACAACACUCUGUGCAAUCAUUACUCGAGCAACCUCAAAAAUCUGUUGGGAGGCAGCAGAAACAAGCACAAGGCUCCAUUCAUCAACAGCCGAAUAUUCUACAACAGAAACAACAACAGUUGAUGGGACAGCAGCCAUAUUUACAACAAAAUCAGCUAAUUGGUCAACAGAAUGGUGUUGUGGAGAUGCAGCAGCAACAGAAGCUACCAGUUCAGUCAAAUAAUCUUUUGAAUGUCCAACAAACACAACAGAUGUUGAACCAGCAGUAUGUGUCUUUGCAUGAGCCACAGCAAUCCGGCUCUCAGGCAAACAUGUCGAUUCUGCAGCAGCAACAACAAAGUCAACAGCAGCAACAACUUCUUGGAACUGUGCCUAAUGUGUCAAGCAUGCAGCCGGUGCAUAUGCUACAAACAAAAGCUCAGCAACCACAACCACAACAGCAGGCUCAGCAGCCUCCAAUGGGUUUGAUGCAACCUCAGUCUCAACACAAGCAACUCCAAUAG
This 975-nucleotide ribosomal RNA is filed under the name Triticum aestivum (bread wheat). RNAcentral's name for it is "partial small subunit ribosomal RNA". The record is from RNAcentral. Lineage: Eukaryota; Viridiplantae; Streptophyta; Magnoliopsida; Poales; Poaceae.